ACGGGUGAGUAACACGUGGAUAACCUACCUAUAAGACUGGGAUAACUUCGGGAAACCGGAGCUAAUACCGGAUAAUAUUUUGAACCGCAUGGUUCAAAAGUGAAAGACGGUCUUGCUGUCACUUAUAGAUGGAUCCGCGCUGCAUUAGCUAGUUGGUAAGGUAACGGCUUACCAAGGCAACGAUGCAUAGCCGACCUGAGAGGGUGAUCGGCCACACUGGAACUGAGACACGGUCCAGACUCCUACGGGAGGCAGCAGUAGGGAAUCUUCCGCAAUGGGCGAAAGCCUGACGGAGCAACGCCGCGUGAGUGAUGAAGGUCUUCGGAUCGUAAAACUCUGUUAUUAGGGAAGAACAUAUGUGUAAGUAACUGUGCACAUCUUGACGGUACCUAAUCAGAAAGCCACGGCUAACUACGUGCCAGCAGCCGCGGUAAUACGUAGGUGGCAAGCGUUAUCCGGAAUUAUUGGGCGUAAAGCGCGCGUAGGCGGUUUUUUAAGUCUGAUGUGAAAGCCCACGGCUCAACCGUGGAGGGUCAUUGGAAACUGGAAAACUUGAGUGCAGAAGAGGAAAGUGGAAUUCCAUGUGUAGCGGUGAAAUGCGCAGAGAUAUGGAGGAACACCAGUGGCGAAGGCGACUUUCUGGUCUGUAACUGACGCUGAUGUGCGAAAGCGUGGGGAUCAAACAGGAUUAGAUACCCUGGUAGUCCACGCCGUAAACGAUGAGUGCUAAGUGUUAGGGGGUUUCCGCCCCUUAGUGCUGCAGCUAACGCAUUAAGCACUCCGCCUGGGGAGUACGACCGCAAGGUUGAAACUCAAAGGAAUUGACGGGGACCCGCACAAGCGGUGGAGCAUGUGGUUUAAUUCGAAGCAACGCGAAGAACCUUACCAAAUCUUGACAUCCUUUGACAACUCUAGAGAUAGAGCCUUCCCCUUCGGGGGACAAAGUGACAGGUGGUGCAUGGUUGUCGUCAGCUCGUGUCGUGAGAUGUUGGGUUAAGUCCCGCAACGAGCGCAACCCUUAAGCUUAGUUGCCAUCAUUAAGUUGGGCACUCUAAGUUGACUGCCGGUGACAAACCGGAGGAAGGUGGGGAUGACGUCAAAUCAUCAUGCCCCUUAUGAUUUGGGCUACACACGUGCUACAAUGGACAAUACAAAGGGCAGCGAAACCGCGAGGUCAAGCAAAUCCCAUAAAGUUGUUCUCAGUUCGGAUUGUAGUCUGCAACUCGACUACAUGAAGCUGGAAUCGCUAGUAAUCGUAGAUCAGCAUGCUACGGUGAAUACGUUCCCGGGUCUUGUACACACCGCCCGUCACACCACGAGAGUUUGUAACACCCGAAGCCGGUGGAGUAACCUUUUAGGAGCUAGCCGUCGAAGGUGGGACAAAUGAUUG
Molecule: ribosomal RNA, 1390 nt
Filed under: Staphylococcus aureus
Lineage: Bacteria; Bacillati; Bacillota; Bacilli; Caryophanales; Staphylococcaceae
Description: bacterial SSU rRNA
Rfam family: Bacterial small subunit ribosomal RNA
Source: RNAcentral